GAGGGUAUAGCUCAGUGGUAGAGCACAUGCUUAGCAGGUACAAGGUCCUGGGUUCGAUCCCCAGUACCGCCA
Transfer RNA from Camelus ferus (Wild Bactrian camel), 72 nucleotides. It matches the Rfam family "tRNA". Rfam says of the family: Transfer RNA (tRNA) molecules are approximately 80 nucleotides in length. Their secondary structure includes four short double-helical elements and three loops (D, anti-codon, and T loops). The record is from Rfam. Lineage: Eukaryota; Metazoa; Chordata; Mammalia; Artiodactyla; Camelidae.